AGACACUGUGUGACUCCGAUCCAUUCUUUAUAUUUCUUGUAUGCUCCGCUAUCCUUACAUAUAGGCAUCUGAUUGUUCUGCCUAUAUAAAGGAGGUUGCAUGGACAUUUUAACACAUAAAUCACUCCUUUAGAGUGACACGUUAGGUGGUCUUUAAUUAAAAAAUGUUUAUUUAUUCAAGGUUCCAUGUCUAUUGUGUCGUUUUCUACUUUUUGUGUUCCUGCAUGCUAAGCACUGCCCGAAGC
Molecule: non-coding RNA, 244 nt
Organism: Pelobates cultripes (western spadefoot toad)
Lineage: Eukaryota; Metazoa; Chordata; Amphibia; Anura; Pelobatidae
Source: the annotation of a GenBank genome assembly